CGCACGUGAGCGGGCGCUACGCCGCUUUCUAAUUUUAGGUGGGCCGUCCGCGCGGGUCGUGCGAGGAAUAGUAAAGUUUAAAAAUAGCCUUACCAACACUCAUGGCAUGAAUAUAUGACCGGAAAAUUGCUGUGGAUCAAGCCCAGGCAAUUAUACAAAUUGGUCAGGUGCUCUGCCGCAGAGCUUCACACUCCCAGCUGAAAGAAACUAUCCAAUUCCAGCCAUCAUCAAGACCUGCUCAAACUUUGGCAGAUAUUUGAACUUGAUGCAUAGGAGAAUACAGUUCCUGGACAGUGCCCAGGUUGGGACAACUAAGAUGGAAUUUUAAGCCCCACUCUUGGAAGGAAACUCCAAAAUAGUUGCUGUUGUGUGAACUGUACCCACAAAGGUGCUCUGUCUUGCUUAUCUCCACUCCAUCUCAGGUCACACAUUGCUGUCAAGACUGGAUGUGUCACUGAGAGGGGGAGCUGUGAUCCCUGUUCCCACUCCUUCCAUGGAACACAAGGACUACACUACAGAAGUGACUAAGCUUUGGGCUCAUCACAGCAGUUAAAGCUACCUGUAUCAGAUUGACUUAGUAACACAGCCAGUAUUACCAGUUACCGUAGAAAACAAUAAUAUCCUGGUUCAGUUGUUUUUUUUUUACUUAUAAUCACAGUGCAUAAUUUGUAGGAUCUACACUUCUGAAAGAUCUACAGAUAGUCUCUCAGAGUCCAGGGUGGGGGGUGGGAUUCAUUGUGUUCAGACCUACUAAUUACAGCCAACAAAGCCAUAGGGAGAUUUUACCUAGAGUCCAACUGGAAAGAAGCUAAGCAUUAUUGGGGGAGGGAGAGAGAACUGGUUCCUUAAAGCAGGUUAAGAGAAAGCCAUUUAUCACCUAAAAGUGGAAAAGGUAUCCAACCCAAAAUAGGAAGUUGUCUAAACAUAUGAACACCAGAAAUAAAAAGAAAGUAAUAAGACAUCUAAAGUUUCUAAUUCUCUGGUAACUCAUUCCAAAGAUUCUAUAGUGAACAAAAUACAAAAAGAAAGUUGUCUUUUACAGACGAAAUUUCAAGAGGCUCUGAGAGAAAUUCAAGGGGACAAUGACUAAAGCAUUUGAUGAAAGUACCAAGGAACUCUCUGAAUGUUUCCAUGAGACAUCUGAGCAGGUAAAAGGCUGUAUGCCAAGCAAGACCAGAGAGUUAAAGGAAUCAAUACAAGGUUUGAAAGAGGAUGUAAGCGAAAUCUCAGAAAAGGUACAUCAGAUGACAAGAUCAAUAGGAAGAAGCACUAACCGAGUAGACCAACUGGAAGAAAGAAUAACAGAUCUUGAAGAUAGGUCUUUUGAACAAUUAGUGUUAGAGAGAAAUCUACAAAGAAAAAUUGAAGAACAAGGGCGAACUCUUGAGUAUUUAAUGAAAAAAUCAAACAUCCGUCUCAUUGGCAUACCUGAAGGAGAGGAGCUAAGGGUUGGAGGCCUAGCAGCCCUAUUCAAUAAAAUAAUAUCAGAAAAUUUCCCAGAUCUUGUGGAAAACAUGGAUAUCCAUGUACAGGAAGCAUUUAGAGCUCCAAGUAGAUCUGACCAGAUAAGUACUUAUCCAAGACAUAUCGUAAUUACAUUAUCAAGUGUGACAGACAAAAAAAGAAUUCUGCAGUCUGCCAGAGAAAAGCACAAAGUAACAUUUAAAGGCAAACACAUUAGAUUAACAGCAGAUCUCUCAGAAGCAACUCUAAAUGCCAGGAGGGCAUGGAAUGAUGUACUCCAAGUUCUGAAAGAAAAUAACUGCCAGCCAAGAUUACUAUACCCAGCGAGGCUGUCUUUCAGGUUUGAAGGAGAAAUAAAGACAUUCCAAGAUAAGAAUGGACUAAGGACAUUUAUGACCACUAAACCAGCAUUACAAAACAUGCUUGAGGGAAUUCUUCACUAAGAAGAGGGAGAAUAGUAUAAAACUUGAGAUUAAGAAGAAUAAAGUAACAAAAUACCUUUGGAAGAACCAGAGUAAUAGGAACAAGUGCACAUCUUUCAGUAUUAACUGAAUGUAAAUUAUCUUAAUUCUCCCAACUAAAAUAUCUCAACUAGCUGAGUGAAGGCCCAAUAUAUAGCCUACUAAAAAACUACACUUGCCAAGGCAUACAUUGGAAGGACGCAGAAAAAAAUCUUGGCAAUGUCACUAAUGAUUGAGGGGAUAGAUAGUUCGUCAAAAAGUAUACAUUUAUAUGUGCCAGGUUUGGACAUACUCGGUUUUAUGAAAAUAAACUCAUGAUAGGUUAUGAGUAGUAGAUGAAGCAGAAACUCAAGUGUUACUGGAAAAUUGGAUAUCUAUGCAUAGAAGAUUGAAAGUAGAAACUUCCCUUCCUGUACAAAAAUCAAAGUGGAUCAGACCUAAUUGUAGUUAGUAGUUGAUACUUGGAAUUGUUUCCCAGAUGAGAACCCAAGAGCACAGGAACCAAAAGGGAUGGACUACUCUGAUUAUAUCAAAUUAAAGCUGCAUGGCAACGGAGAUAAAAAUGGAGAGAAAUGAUUAGGGGAAAUCUUUGCUAUUCAUAUGGGAUAAUAAUGCCCACAAACUAAUAAAAUCCAAAAUGCUAUACAAGAUUUGAAUAGGUCUUAAAAUCAAAUGACCAAUUUAAGAAAAUUUUCUCAGCCAUGGGAGAAUUGCAAAUGAGAACUACAGUAGGUUCAGAUUCUUAGAGCUACUAGUGUUAGGCAAGAAUGGAGAAAAUGGACCUCCGCCUACAGUUGGGAAUGUAAAUUGGUACAGCCACUGUUCACAACAAAAUUGGAGGUUCCAUUCCAAGGUAUGUAUCAGCAAAUGAAGUAAACAUACAAGAGGUAAAUGCAUGCCCAUGGAAGAUACCCACAGUAGCCCAUAAAUCAGCCUAGGUGUCAAUAAAAUAGAUUUUAAAAUAGUCUAAACACAAUGGACCUUCAAUGGAAAAGUAAAAUCAUUUUCAGGAAAAUGGAACCAUAGAUUAAGUCAAGCAGUACUUGUUUUCUUUUGUCCAUGGCUCCUAUAAUACUAUCUACUUGGAAGGCAGAGAUAGGGAAAAUCAGAGUGUAAAGGCAAUAUAGGCCAAACAUUUUCAAGAGUCAGUGAAUGAAAAGCUGGAGAAGGUGGAUCAUACUUGUCAUAUCAGCAUAAGCAGGGUGUAUAAAUAGAUUGUCUCAGUGUGUCCCAUGGUUGAAGCAAGAUCCUACGCAAAGGGGGAGAGUCUAGAGGUGAGGCUCACCUGAUAGAACACCUGUCUGGUAUGCAUAAGCCAUGAGUAAAAAACCUGUGCCAAAAAACCCAUGAAAGGAGAAGAGGAACUAUCAAGAACUUGGAAAGUGACCAGGAAGAGGUGGGGAGAGUUAGAAGGGUAGGUGAACAUGGUACAUGCAUGCUCUGCUGUUUGUAAAUCCCACUGAGUCUCAUUUUGUCCAAUUUUGUUUGAAUAAAACUAAAAAUUUAACAACA
Perognathus longimembris pacificus (Pacific pocket mouse) is the source of this 3437-nucleotide long non-coding RNA. RefSeq lists it as uncharacterized. The record is from RefSeq and is a predicted model, not a curated record. NCBI's taxonomy places the organism in Eukaryota, Metazoa, Chordata, Mammalia, Rodentia, Heteromyidae. The transcript has 3 exons.